CCUACGGGUGGCAGCAGUGAGGAAUAUUGGUCAAUGGGCUUACGCCUGAACCAGCCAAGUCGCGUGAGGGAAGACGGCCCUAUGGGUUGUAAACCUCUUUUGUCAGGGAGCAAGUGGCGCUACGUGUAGCGUUAUCGAGAGUACCUGAAGAAAAAGCAGCGGCGAACUCCGUGCCAGCAGCCGCGGUGAUACGGAGGAUGCGAGCGUUAGCCGGAUUUAUUGGGUUUAAAGGGUGCGUAGGCGGAAUGCCAAGUCAGCGGUAAAAUCGCGGGGCUCACCCUCGCUCCGCCGUUGAAACUGGCGUUCUUGAGUGGGCGAGCAGUAUGCGGCCUGCGUGGUGUAGCGGUGCACUGCAUAGAUAUCACGC
This 367-nucleotide ribosomal RNA is filed under the name uncultured bacterium. RNAcentral describes it as "partial 16S ribosomal RNA". It matches the Rfam family "Bacterial small subunit ribosomal RNA", at positions 338 to 702 of the family's 1533-position model. The record is from RNAcentral.